AGAGUUUGAUCAUGGCUCAGAUUGAACGCUGGCGGCAUGCUUUACACAUGCAAGUCGAACGGCAGCGGGGUAGUGCUUGCACUACUGCCGGCGAGUGGCGAACGGGUGAGUAAUAUAUCGGAACGUACCGAGUAAUGGGGGAUAACCAAUUGAAAGAUUGGCUAAUACCGCAUACGUCCUGAGGGAGAAAGCGGGGGAUCGCAAGACCUCGCGUUAUUCGAGCGGCCGAUAACUGAUUAGCUAGUUGGUGGGGUAAAGGCCUACCAAGGCGACGAUCAGUAGCGGGUCUGAGAGGACGAUCCGCCACACUGGAACUGAGACACGGUCCAGACUCCUACGGGAGGCAGCAGUGAGGAAUCUUCCACAAUGGGCGAAAGCCUGAUGGAGCAACGCCGCGUGCAGGACGAAGGCCUUCGGGUUGUAAACUGCUUUUAUAAGUGAGGAAUAUGACGGUAACUUAUGAAUAAGGAUCGGCUAACUACGUGCCAGCAGCCGCGGU
Molecule: ribosomal RNA, 499 nt
Filed under: Eikenella sp. oral clone 24-48
Lineage: Bacteria; Pseudomonadati; Pseudomonadota; Betaproteobacteria; Neisseriales; Neisseriaceae
Description: bacterial SSU rRNA
Rfam family: Bacterial small subunit ribosomal RNA
Source: RNAcentral